GAUGAACGCUAGCGACAGGCUUAACACAUGCAAGUCGAGGGGCAGCAGGGAUUUAGCUUGCUAAAUCCGCUGGCGACCGGCGCACGGGUGCGUAACGCGUAUCCAACUUUCCCGUUACUCAGGGAUAGCCUUCCGAAAGGGAGAUUAAUACCUGAUGGUGUUCAAAUUCCGCAUGUUAUUUGAACUAAAGAUUUAUCGGUAACAGAUGGGGAUGCGUGACAUUAGAUAGUAGGCGGGGUAACGGCCCACCUAGUCUACGAUGUCUAGGGGUUCUGAGAGGAAGGUCCCCCACACUGGAACUGAGACACGGUCCAGACUCCUACGGGAGGCAGCAGUGAGGAAUAUUGGUCAAUGGUCGGAAGACUGAACCCAGCCAAGUAGCGUGAAGGAUGAAGGUUCUAUGGAUUGUAAACUUCUUUUAUACGGGAAUAAAGCCCGCUACGUGUAGCGGUUUGUAUGUACCGUAUGAAUAAGCAUCGGCUAAACUCCGUG
This 492-nucleotide ribosomal RNA is filed under the name uncultured bacterium. RNAcentral describes it as "bacterial SSU rRNA". It matches the Rfam family "Bacterial small subunit ribosomal RNA", at positions 28 to 507 of the family's 1533-position model. The record is from RNAcentral.